GGGGACGUACCGGUUUCGACAGGGGCCAUGAAGCUGUGCUCGCGUGCCGCGGAGCCUUUGGCCGCGUAUCAAAAGGCAACCCUACAAGUGCCAACGACAACGUUGAACUUGCCCUCGCCGCGUAAGACGUAAAACACCUUACCGACGACGGACGCGAUGGCCGUGCCCGCCGGGCCGCGCGUUCGUACACAGGUGGGCUGGCCUUGCGCGCAUGUCUCUGUAGCGCACGGCGAGAUCGGAAAGGCCGUCGCGGAUGGACCCUGUCGCCUGGGGGACGCCGCGCCGUACAAAUCAGGCGACUACGCACGUAGACAGUCCAGUGGACGGUUUCUGGACGCGGGUUCGACUCCCGCCGUCUCCACCG
RNAcentral lists this transfer-messenger RNA (364 nucleotides) under Deltaproteobacteria bacterium. It matches the Rfam family "transfer-messenger RNA". Rfam says of the family: Bacterial tmRNA, also known as 10Sa RNA or SsrA, is named for its dual tRNA and mRNA-like properties. Its role is to liberate the mRNA from a stalled ribosome. The record is from RNAcentral. Lineage: Bacteria; Pseudomonadati; Myxococcota; Myxococcia. RNAcentral also lists the same sequence under 1 other name.